This 881-nucleotide long non-coding RNA is filed under the name Homo sapiens (human). Its description in RNAcentral is "non-protein coding TMEM161B-AS1:26". Lineage: Eukaryota; Metazoa; Chordata; Mammalia; Primates; Hominidae. The record is from RNAcentral.
CAAGAGAGAAGCAGAAGCCACCAUGGUUUUUUAUGCCGUUGUUGACCUAGCCCCCAAAGUGACAUAUUAUUACACAGAUAUGUAGCCAACCUGUGGGUCACUGAUACGGUUUGGAUGUGUGUCCCCUCCAAAUCUCAUGUUGAAAUGUGAUUCUCAGUGUUGGAAGUGGGGCUGGUGAUAGGUGUUUGGUUCAUGAGGGUAGAUCCCUUAUGAAUGGCUUGGUGCUGUCUUUGUGGCAAUAAGUGAGUUCUCACUAUCUGAGUUCACACAAGAGCUGGUUGUUUAAAAGAGCCUGUCAUCUCUUUUGCUCCCUUUCUCACCAUGUGAUAUGCUGCUCCCCUUCUCUUCUGCCAUGAAGAAAAGCUUCCUGAGGCCUUCACCAGAAGCAGAUGCUGGUGCCGUGCUUCUACAGCCUGCAGAACUGAAGGACUUUACAGCUUCUCUUUCGCAUAUCCAAAUUGCCAGCAUCACCGCUCUUGCACUCCAAGCCAUUAUUAAGUAAAGUAAAGAACACAAACACUGUGAUACUGCUACACUUGAUCUGAUAACCAAGAAGUCUACUAAGUGACUAACAGUUAAUAUUUUUGGACAUGAGGUGACUGCAGUUAACUAAAACCAUGGAAAGCAAACCCAUAGAUAAAGGGAUACUAUGAGAAGACAUGGAGAAGAGGAGGGAGUAGUUGUGACCGUGGAGGCAGAGAAUGGAGUAAUGUGAUCAUAAAUCAAGGAAUGCUGACAGCCACUAAAGCUGGAGAAGGCCAAGGACAGAUAUUCAAUCCUCCCGUAGAAGUACAGCCCUGCUAAUGCAUUGAUUUUGGACUUCUGGCCUCAGAACUAUUUAUAUAUCAGCUUUUUAUCAGUUGAAAUAAACCACCCUGGGC